This 1224-nucleotide ribosomal RNA is filed under the name Legionella pneumophila. RNAcentral describes it as "partial 23S ribosomal RNA". It matches the Rfam family "Bacterial large subunit ribosomal RNA", at positions 515 to 1735 of the family's 2925-position model. The record is from RNAcentral. Lineage: Bacteria; Pseudomonadati; Pseudomonadota; Gammaproteobacteria; Legionellales; Legionellaceae.
UGAAAAGAACCCCGGAGAGGGGAGUGAAAUAGAAUCUGAAACCGUUUGCGUACAAGCAGUGGGAGCAUGGUUUAGGCUGUGUGACUGCGUACCUUUUGUAUAAUGGGUCAGCGAGUUACUUUCAGUGGCGAGGUUAACUGAAUAAGGGAGCCGUAGAGAAAUCGAGUCUGAAUAGGGCGAUAGUCGCUGGGAGUAGACCCGAAACCGGGCGAUCUAGCCAUGUGCAGGAUGAAGGUUGGGUAACACCAACUGGAGGUCCGAACCGGGUAAUGUUGAAAAAUUAUCGGAUGACGUGUGGCUAGGAGUGAAAGGCUAAUCAAGCCCGGAGAUAGCUGGUUCUCCCCGAAAGCUAUUUAGGUAGCGCCUCGUGAAUGAUUACUGGGGGUAGAGCACUGUUUCGGCUAGGGGGCUGUCAUGGCUUACCAAACCGAUGCAAACUCCGAAUACCGGCUAAUUGAAUCACGGGAGACACACGGCGGGUGCUAACGUCCGUCGUGGAGAGGGAAACAACCCAGACCGCCAGCUAAGGUCCCCAAGUACUAGUUAAGUGGGAAACGAUGUGGGAAGGCAUAGACAGCCAGGAGGUUGGCUUAGAAGCAGCCACCCUUUAAAGAAAGCGUAAUAGCUCACUGGUCGAGUCGGCCUGCGCGGAAGAUGUAACGGGGCUAAAACUAGUCACCGAAGCUGCGGAUGUGCGCGAAGGCGCACGUGGUAGGGGAGCGUUCUGUAGGCUGAUGAAGGUGCAUUGAGAAGUGUGCUGGAGGUAUCAGAAGUGCGAAUGCUGACAUGAGUAACGAUAAUGUGGGUGAAAAGCCCACACGCCGGAAGUCCCAGGUUUCCUGCACGACGUUAAUCGGAGCAGGGUGAGUCGGCCCCUAAGGCGAGGCUGAAGAGCGUAGUCGAUGGGAACCAGGUUAAUAUUCCUGGACUUUUUAUAAGUGGUGAAGUGGGGACGAAGAAGGCUAGGUGAGCCAGGCGUUGGUUGUCCUGGUACUUGCAUGUAGGGGGGAAGACUUGGCAAAUCCGGUUUUCCAUAACUCUGAGGUGCGAAGUGGUUCUGACCUUUUGGUACAGAGAAGUCAUUGAUGCCCGGCUUCCAGGAAAAGCUGCUAGCCAUAACUUAUAGAGAACCGUACCGCAAACCGACACAGGUGGACAGGUAGAGAAUACUAAGGCGCUUGAGAGAACUCGGGUGAAGGAACUAGGCAAAAUGGUACCGUAACU